AAGAUUCCUUUUGCUGAGGAAGAUUGGCUUUGAGCUAACAUCUGUACUUGCCUGUAACGCCUGCCACAGCAUGACUUGAUGAGCGGUGCGUAGGUCCACGCCUGGAAUCCAAACCUGUGAACCCCCCAGGUGCCGAAGUGGAGUGUGCAAACUUAACUGCUAUGCCACCAGCAGAAGAGCCUUUGAGUGAAGACCUGGGAACUUGGAAAAGACUUCUUACUCCGUUACAAUCUCAGGAGUCAUGGGAACUAAUUGCAAAUCAAAUGGCUCUAAUUUGCUACUUUCAAGUCAAGGAGGCCACAGAAGAAGAAUUUCAAGAAGGGAGUAGAGGACAAUGUUAAAUGCUGCAGAGAGAAAGUAAAAUGGGAACUGGGAAGAUUCCAUCAGAUUUGCAAUUAGACUUUGUGAACUAAAAUAUCUCUUGUGUCCUGGGAUACCAAGAGAUUUUUUUCCUUGCGUAAUUUUGAUGAAAUAGGUCAUAUACACAUGGUGCUAAAUUCAAAACACAGAAGAGGAAGACAGCGAAAAGCCUCUGGGUCUCCCCUCCCAUCCCUGCACCCCAGGCGCCCAGGUUCCUUUCCAGGAAGCAAACAAUAUUACCAAUUUAUUGUGCAUCCUUACUCUAUACACAUCUAAUAAAUAAGUGUAUAUACUCUUUUUUCUGUUUUUACACACAGGGUAUCAUAAACAUUAAAUAGUUGAGGAAAUGGGGACAAUGCUUUAUCUCCUCUGUAUCUUAGCACCUCGAUUAGCCUGGUUUCUCCACAUCACGGUCUCUCCUUAAGCCCUGAGCAUGAAUCACUUUGAUCCCUUUGACAGAUGAU
This 824-nucleotide long non-coding RNA is filed under the name Equus asinus (donkey). RNAcentral describes it as "lncRNA (ENSEASG00005031535.1)". Lineage: Eukaryota; Metazoa; Chordata; Mammalia; Perissodactyla; Equidae. The record is from RNAcentral.